UUGGUCCAUGACCGGCUGACAUCUGUGCUCCAUCUGACAGCAGCAGAUUGGCAUUCUCUGCACAUGUCUUUUCAAUUCCUGUCAUCUGUUUUUUUGCCGUUCUAUACACAUUCUACACACAUUGCAUUAUUUACUUAAGUAUGAACCUUUCAGAGGCGCUCAUAAGGGGCACCUUUUCUUCACAAGUAUAUUCUGGAAUGAAUGCCGGAUUCAACAUUAGGGAGAGAAGAUGACUGAACACUACUUCCUUUCAAACAGCUCCCGAGACUGAGUAACCCGUCUGUAGGCUGCAGAAAAUGUGCUUGCUUUAGUCUACAUAGCUCUUCAGGGCUUGGGACCACCACCACCUAAAGGAAUUCUUUCCAUAUGUUACUACCUAUAUCCCAAAAUAAUCUUCAAACAACUUGGUUUUUGUGCUCACUGUGACUGAAAUGUGGCAAGUGACUGCCCAGCAACUUUUGAAUAUCCUUCUCAGAUUAGGAUGCUGUCAUUUGUGCCUGGAUUGCAUUUGCAUUCAAAACAGUGCUCAGGUAGCCCCAUUACAAGGGCCAGAUCUACAUUAUUUUGCAUCACCCGGCUGAUAGAAUUACUGCUAUGUGUGAAUAUGCACUUAGCAGCUUGUCAAGGUCAAUGAGCAAAUCUGGCAGAGAAGAUCUACACAAACAUAGUCUUUGACAUCUGUUCUCAUCUUAGUCCUCCUGUGCAGGAGAUGCAACUCUUUGAACAUUGUCCCGUAUCUGGCAGUUAUAAUGUUGUGGAUGAAUUGCAGUAUUUCUUUCUUGAAAUAAAGUGGCAUGUGCAAAUGUGCUACUGUAUGUACAAAGUGUAAACUGUUGUAUAAUACCUAUACUUUAUUCACAGCGAAAUGAAAACAAUCAGUGUGUGUGAGACUCCAUACAGGCCAUCCAUUCAUGCCCUGACAUUUGAGCUCUGUUGUAAGCAAAUCUGAUCUAACAUUGUUUGUCCCCCAAGCCUUACUAUCUCUGGAGUCUCCUUUUUUGAGGGAAAGAGUAAAAUUGUCUGACUCAAGAUCCUGAGGGGAGGGAUGGUCAAGAAAUCAUAUAUUCAGACAUGCAUGGGUGAGAUGAUGAACAUUAAUUCUCUGAGUUUGUGGGUUGGUUUCUGAACAUUUUGUUACCAAGCUAGGCAACAUCUUCAGCGGAGUUUAUAGGAUCUCAGUGUCAGUGUUCUUCUGUUUAUAAGGGCUUCGUGUGGUCAGUAGGUCUUGUGAUGGGUCAGGUAUGGGUGUGUCAGCUGAGGGUCUUGUGAUGGGGAUGUUACACCAGGCAAGGCU
Pantherophis guttatus is the source of this 1294-nucleotide long non-coding RNA. RefSeq lists it as uncharacterized. The record is from RefSeq and is a predicted model, not a curated record. Lineage: Eukaryota; Metazoa; Chordata; Lepidosauria; Squamata; Colubridae.